Non-coding RNA from Clostridia bacterium 41_269, 76 nucleotides. NCBI's taxonomy places the organism in Bacteria, Bacillati, Bacillota, Clostridia. The record is from Rfam.
ACAAUGCGAUGAAGUGGAAGGUUGCUGUUAAAACAACAGGUAAUUUCCACAGAGAAUUGUCCGAAAAUCGGGCGAA